UACGUAGGGUGCAAGCGUUGUCCGGAAUUAUUGGGCGUAAAGAGCUCGUAGGCGGUUUGUUGCGUCGGCUGUGAAAACCUGAGGCUCAACCUCAGGCCUGCAGUCGAUACGAGCAGACUAGAGUGUUGCAGGGGAGACUGGAAUUCCUGGUGUAGCGGUGAAAUGCGUAGAGAUCCGGAGGAACACCGACGGGCGAAGGCAGCCUUCUGGAAAGUACCUGACGCUGAGGGGCGAAAGCUAGGGGAGCGAACGGG
Molecule: ribosomal RNA, 254 nt
Filed under: uncultured bacterium
Lineage: Bacteria
Description: partial 16S ribosomal RNA
Rfam family: Bacterial small subunit ribosomal RNA
Source: RNAcentral